AGAGUUUGAUCCUGGCUCAGGACGAACGCUGGCGGCGCGCUUAACACAUGCAAGUCGAGCGAGAACCAGUCCUUCGGGGCUGGGGACAGCGGCGAACGGGUGAGUAACACGUGGGUAAUCUGCCCUCGGCACCGGAAUAGCCCGGGGAAACCCGGAUUAAUGCCGGAUGGCCUCUCUGCCCUACGGGGCGGCGAGAAAAGGUAGCUUUGGCCUCCGGCCGAGGAUGAGCCCGCGGCCGAUUAGCUUGUUGGUGAGGUAACGGCUCACCAAGGCGACGAUCGGUAGCUGGUCUGAGAGGACGAUCAGCCACACUGGGACUGAGACACGGCCCAGACUCCUACGGGAGGCAGCAGUGGGGAAUCUUGCGCAAUGGGCGAAAGCCUGACGCAGCGACGCCGCGUGCGGGAAGAAGGCCUUCGGGUUGUAAACCGCUUUCAGGAGGGACGAAGCCACUCAGGUUAAUAGCCGAGAGGGUGACGGUACCUCCAGAAAGAAGCCCGGCUAACUACGUGCCAGCAGCCGCGGUA
Molecule: ribosomal RNA, 527 nt
Filed under: uncultured Actinomycetes bacterium
Lineage: Bacteria; Bacillati; Actinomycetota; Actinomycetes
Description: bacterial SSU rRNA
Rfam family: Bacterial small subunit ribosomal RNA
Source: RNAcentral